UGCAGUCGAACGCUUCUUUUUCCACCGGAGCUUGCUCCACCGGAAAAAGAGGAGUGGCGAACGGGUGAGUAACACGUGGGUAACCUGCCCAUCAGAAGGGGAUAACACUUGGAAACAGGUGCUAAUACCGUAUAACAAUCGAAACCGCAUGGUUUUGAUUUGAAAGGCGCUUUCGGGUGUCGCUGAUGGAUGGACCCGCGGUGCAUUAGCUAGUUGGUGAGGUAACGGCUCACCAAGGCGACGAUGCAUAGCCGACCUGAGAGGGUGAUCGGCCACAUUGGGACUGAGACACGGCCCAAACUCCUACGGGAGGCAGCAGUAGGGAAUCUUCGGCAAUGGACGAAAGUCUGACCGAGCAACGCCGCGUGAGUGAAGAAGGUUUUCGGAUCGUAAAACUCUGUUGUUAGAGAAGAACAAGGAUGAGAGUAACUGUUCAUCCCUUGACGGUAUCUAACCAGAAAGCCACGGCUAACUACGUGCCA
RNAcentral lists this ribosomal RNA (482 nucleotides) under Enterococcus hirae. Its description in RNAcentral is "bacterial SSU rRNA". It matches the Rfam family "Bacterial small subunit ribosomal RNA", at positions 56 to 510 of the family's 1533-position model. Lineage: Bacteria; Bacillati; Bacillota; Bacilli; Lactobacillales; Enterococcaceae. The record is from RNAcentral.